This 492-nucleotide ribosomal RNA is filed under the name uncultured bacterium. Its description in RNAcentral is "partial 16S ribosomal RNA". It matches the Rfam family "Bacterial small subunit ribosomal RNA", at positions 29 to 523 of the family's 1533-position model. The record is from RNAcentral.
AUUGAACGCUGGCGGCAGGCCUGACACAUGCAAGUCGAGCGAACCUAGCUUGCUAGGUGAGCGGCGAACGGGUGAGUAACGCGUAGGAAUCUGCCCGAUAGUGGGGGACAACGUCUCGAAAGGGACGCUAAUACCGCAUACGCCCUACGGGGGAAAGCAGGGGAUCUUCGGACCUUGCGCUAUCGGAUGAGCCUGCGUCGGAUUAGCUAGGUGGCGGGGUAAAGGCCCACCAAGGCGACGAUCCGUAGCUGGUCUGAGAGGAUGAUCAGCCACACAGGAACUGAGACACGGUCCGGACUCCUACGGGAGGCAGCAGUGGGGAAUAUUGGACAAUGGGGGCAACCCUGAUCCAGCCAUGCCGCGUGUGUGAAGAAGGCCUUCGGGUUGUAAAGCACUUUAAGGGGGGAGGAAGGUUCGUUGGCUAAUAUCCAACGGAAUUGACGCUACCCCCAGAAUAAGCACCGGCUAACUCCGUGCCAGCAGCCGCCGUAA